RNAcentral lists this ribosomal RNA (109 nucleotides) under Pantoea sp. AMG 501. RNAcentral describes it as "partial 16S ribosomal RNA". It matches the Rfam family "Bacterial small subunit ribosomal RNA", at positions 1 to 100 of the family's 1533-position model. Lineage: Bacteria; Pseudomonadati; Pseudomonadota; Gammaproteobacteria; Enterobacterales; Erwiniaceae. The record is from RNAcentral.
UUAAAUUGAAGAGUUUGAUCAUGGCUCAGAUUGAACGCUGGCGGCAGGCCUAACACAUGCAAGUCGGACGGUAGCACAGAGGAGCUUGCUCCUCGGGUGACGAGUGGCG